This is a long non-coding RNA of Cervus elaphus (red deer), 149 nucleotides long. RefSeq lists it as uncharacterized. The transcript is spliced from 3 exons. The record is from RefSeq and is a predicted model, not a curated record. Lineage: Eukaryota; Metazoa; Chordata; Mammalia; Artiodactyla; Cervidae.
UGACUGACCGUCUACUUCAGCUAUUGCUGCAUCAGUUGGAGGUUGCUCCAUGUUUACCUGGAGUACCCUCAACUGUCUCUAGAAUGAAAUGUCCUCAAGGGGAUGGGGAGCGUGACACCGUGCUCCUGUAGAGGGGAGUAAGACCCAGA